GGGAGGCUAUGGUAAGGUGGUGUAGCGCCGCUCCCCGCUCCCUUAUGCCGUUUACAUGUGCAAAGGAGAGAGACAGGGAGAGAGAGACAACCAUAUAUAUGUGGAUUUGAAAGCAGCACAGGCACGGAGGCAUAAUCCGCGGAAAAAUAUUUAACGUCAGAUUUGGACAGUGUGAGCAUCGCGCGAUGACUGUGUCCCCUGUACAGGCACACUGGCCAUCACUAAGUACCCUUACCUCAGAGCUGAAUCAGGUGUGUCAGUGCUGGGCUGGAACAAAAGCCUGCACACCUAGUAGCUCUUCAGGACCAGGGUUGGAGACCACUGCUCGUACCAGUAGAAGGAUGGCAUGAGAUACAGCCUCGGUGGUCCUCCUUAGCUCUCCUGGAUGAGCUGGAAGAUGCUGGUAGAGCAGCAGAAGUAACCCAGCUAUCGCUCCGGAUGUUGUGAAGACCCAACCUGUGGAUCCAGUCGGAAGGUGGGGCCUUCCACUAUCCAUUCCUCCCCUCCCUUUCCUCAGCCAAUGCUAGACUCCCACCACAGCCCAGUUUCACAAAGAUACUUCCUCCUUCGGUCAUUCAAGAGCACAUAGAUCAGGGAUUAUCAACUAGAUUCAACCGCGGGCUGAUUUUUUUCUUAAGUGGAUGGUCAGGGGGCCUGAACUGACCGCAAGAAGCCCAACAGAUAUAACAUUUGACUAAAACAAUAAUUUCAAAUCUUUCUUGCAUUUGUAUAUGAUCACAUAUAUCUCUCUAUUAUGCGUGAGAAUACUUUG
This is a long non-coding RNA of Oncorhynchus nerka (sockeye salmon), 772 nucleotides long. RefSeq lists it as uncharacterized. The record is from RefSeq and is a predicted model, not a curated record. The transcript has 3 exons. NCBI's taxonomy places the organism in Eukaryota, Metazoa, Chordata, Actinopteri, Salmoniformes, Salmonidae.